RNAcentral lists this ribosomal RNA (169 nucleotides) under uncultured bacterium. Its description in RNAcentral is "partial 16S ribosomal RNA". It matches the Rfam family "Bacterial small subunit ribosomal RNA", at positions 338 to 524 of the family's 1533-position model. The record is from RNAcentral.
CCUACGGGAGGCAGCAGUGCGGAAUUUUGCACAAUGGGGGAAACCCUGAUGCAGCAACGCCGCGUGAGUGAUGAAGGUCUUCGGAUUGUGAAGCUCUGUCUUUGGGGACGAUAAUGACGGUACCGAAGGAGGAAGCCACGGCUAACUACGUGCCAGCAGGCGCGGUAAU